RNAcentral lists this long non-coding RNA (2766 nucleotides) under Olea europaea (common olive). RNAcentral describes it as "long non-coding RNA (OEUR_LNC015104)". The record is from RNAcentral. Lineage: Eukaryota; Viridiplantae; Streptophyta; Magnoliopsida; Lamiales; Oleaceae.
UAAUUAUCGUCGUAUCAUAAGCACCACCGCCGGAAAAUCCUACGGCGGACCAGGUCUUUCCGCCACCCAUCCUUCUCGACAAGCUAUUUUCCGCAAUAUUUUCGCCUUAUAAGAGAGAAAACUUACCGCCGAUAAUCAUCAGUUUAGGGUUCAUCACGUGUCAAGGCAAAACUCAAACAGUAACGAGAGUUGAUUGGUGGGGUCGGAUCAGGUGGGUCCCAAACUAAAGCAGCGUAUCCAACGAAAUAUAGUGAUCUAAUUGGCCAGCACAUUUCGACCAAUCAGAGUUUGUACACGUUUCCUGCACUCCGAAAAAGAUGGGACACGUAUGUACCUAAGGGAAGCAAAGUGGGGAUGCUUUUGGUGGGAGGUUCCAGAAAAAGAACGCGUGGCAUACGUUUAUGUUGUUUGAUGUUUAUUGCUGUUUCACGCUCUUCUUCAACGCGUGAAAUCAUAUUCACUCUUUUGAAUUUCUUGAUCACGAGACAAAACAAACAUGCACAUGAUAUUCUGGGAUGUUUGGCUGAAAUAUAAAAUCAAGUACAAGGAAUUUUAAGAAAAAUUAAUUAUCCACGUUUAUUCAAAUUAAUAUUUUCUUCCUGCUAGUGAAUUAUUUAUUUAAGAAUUAAUUUUUAUUUUUGUGUCAAACUAAAUAAUUGCAUGCAUGCAUGUUUUUUGUUCAUAUUUCUGCACAAAAAUGCUCUCCGAAAAGAUAAUAUUGCUCUACCUUAUUAAAUCACCUACUUUAUUACGACUUCACUUGGAUCAUAGCAUAAAUCAAUAAUGCUUUCGACUACUGAACUUUCAUAAUCUAAGAUGCAAGAUUUGUGCUGCUUCACCUAGCAGUACGAAGUUUGUAUUGCUCUUCCACAAUCCCAUUUUCACAAUUUACGCUCUAGUAACGUUUACAACAAUUGGUCCUUUAAUUUAAUUGGAUCAACUAGCAAUUUUGAAGGAACUGAAGUUGCAUUUCCCUUUAUUUCUAUUCAAAUGUUCGUAAAUAUUUUCAUGCAGAAAUUAUUUCUUUACUUAUAAAGAUCAGAUAUCUUGCAUAGCUAGUUUUCAUAAACCUUAUUUAUUUACUUAUAAUAUAAUCUGGAGAUUUGUUAAUUUUAUCAGUAUCUUCUUAAGUAUAGCAAAUAUGUCCAUUCAAAAUAUCCUUCAUGCUUAAUAUAUACUUAAAAAUAGUUUUUAUUUUCGAAAUUACUAAAUAUAUAUAAUUAACAUGUUCAAUGUAAUAAAUCAAGUAGAGACUAUAAGAUUAUCACAUAUAUAAAAAAAAUUCCACCCUCAAGUAUAUCGUGUUCUUCACGUGGUAGGUGCGGUUUGCGGGUUUGAAUUCCUACAAGGUCGCUGCUAUCAAAGAGCCAUGGAGGCACCCAGGAUGAGGACACAUGUAUGGCCUGAUGACAUUUCAGAUAUUGAGAAAAAUUUAAUUGGUCAAGUUAAAAGGUAGAAUAAUGCUCAUUGAUAGAAGCGUUUGAAAGAAAAUAAUUAUUCUGAUGUUUGUUAGCAAUUAAAAUUUGGAAAAAGAUAAAAAUAAAAAAUGGUAGGUCAAGUCUCCACUUAUUAAAUUCUCAAAUGAAUUAUCAUGUUUUUUUAAUUUGGCAGGACGUUGAUUCUCCAUUAGAUUUGUAACGUUAGGUUAUCUUGUUGUCAUGAUAUUAUUUGUCAGUACUAAUCUAUCCUUAAUGCAAGAAUGUUUGAUUGUGUUUAAUUGAUCAAAUUUACUUUUAAGUAACUUAUUUACUCUUAUCUAUUUUUUGUAUUUACUUUUAUUCUAAAAGUUAUUUUAAUUCACUUCCAGAAGUAACUUUUAAUCAAAACUAAACGUACUCUUCUUCCCAUGCAGUGCAUGUCCUUUCUAUUACGUCGCCAAUAUAUACCUUCCAUAGAAAAUCAAGAUCCUAAAAACUUUUAAGGUCGUGUGUUAAUUACUUUUUCAAAAAAAAAAAAAAAAAAAAAAGAUAAUGGCCAACUUGAUAGAAUAAUGCUUUUUUGAAAAAAUAAAUAUCCUACGUGAAAAUAUAUUACAUGCAUGCACGUAUAUAAGUUAUUGAUAUAUCUCUAUUUGAUUUUGUUAAAAUUGAGUUUUUAGUACGUUUUGAUUAAAGUUCAUAAAAUACAUAGAUAAAAUUUACUGGUGCAAUGAAAUAUAUAGUUAAAAUUAAUGAUUAGUCUCGACGUAAAUUUAUUUUAAUUUUUUUUUAACUGAAUUAAAUAUAGGUUAUAUAUUUUCUAUUAAACUCGCAUGAAAUAAAUCAACGAAUCACCAAGACUAGGAGUUUUGUUAUUGAUAGAAGAAAUUAAAUAAAAGAGUAACACAAUUACUUUGGAAAAAGGUUCCAAAAUUAUUAUGACAAUUAUCAUGUUCAACAAUACAGACAUGUCAAUCAAUCGUACAUAAAUUGAACUUUCAAUAAAAUAAGCAAUUAUUCAAAUUACACAGCAAAAUAUGACAUACCUGUCAUCCACCUUAUGUAGGUACAAUAUCUCCUAGCAUUGAUGCUUUCUCUGGUGACUUUUGUCUAAUAGCAUUCCAACCCACUAAUCAAGAUAAGGGUUAUUCUGCAGAGUUCUUUUGAUAUGACUUUUUUUUCGUCAAGAGUGAACUCAAUCACAUUUGGUGGAUAAGUUGACGUGCGGACGGAGAAUAUCGACGUCCAUUCCGAAGUUUUUUCGAGACCAUUUUUAACUAGAAAAUCCUCACCCACCGCCCUUCUAUCUCUCACCAUCCAAAAUAUCUAUCUCAUUGUCUAUAAAGCC